GUAGCAAUACAUCACCGGCGGACGGGUGCGUAACACGUGGGAAUAUACCUUUUGGUUCGGAACAACGCAGGGAAACUUGCGCUAAUGCCGAAUGUGCCCUUACGGGGAAAGAUUUAUCGCCAAAGGAUUAGCCCGCGUCCGAUUAGCUAGUUAGUGAGGUAAUGGCUCACCAAGGCUCCGAUCGGUAGCUGUUCUGAGAGGAAGAUCAGCCACACUGGGACUGAGACACGGCCCAGACUCCUACGGGAGGCAGCAGUUGGGAAUCUUGGACAAUGGGGGAAACCCUGAUCCAGCCAUGCCGCGUGAGUGAUGAAGGCCUUCGGG
This 324-nucleotide ribosomal RNA is filed under the name uncultured bacterium. RNAcentral's name for it is "bacterial SSU rRNA". It matches the Rfam family "Bacterial small subunit ribosomal RNA", at positions 72 to 422 of the family's 1533-position model. The record is from RNAcentral.